This 510-nucleotide ribosomal RNA is filed under the name uncultured bacterium. Its description in RNAcentral is "bacterial SSU rRNA". It matches the Rfam family "Bacterial small subunit ribosomal RNA", at positions 27 to 518 of the family's 1533-position model. The record is from RNAcentral.
GGACGAACGCUGGCGGCGUGCCUAAUACAUGCAAGUCGAGCGGACCGAUGGGAGCUUGCUCCCUAGGUCAGCGGCGGACGGGUGAGUAACACGUGGGUAACCUGCCUGUAAGACCGGGAUAACUCCGGGAAACCGGGGCUAAUACCGGAUGCUUGAUUGAACCGCAUGGUUCAAUCAUAAAAGGUGGCUUUUAGCUACCACUUACAGAUGGACCCGCGGCGCAUUAGCUAGUUGGUGAGGUAACGGCUCACCAAGGCGACGAUGCGUAGCCGACCUGAGAGGGUGAUCGGCCACACUGGGACUGAGACACGGCCCAGACUCCUACGGGAGGCAGCAGUAGGGAAUCUUCCGCAAUGGACGAAAGUCUGACGGAGCAACGCCCGCGUGAGUGAUGAAGGUUUUCGGAUCGUAAAACUCUGUUGUUAGGGAAGAACAAGUACCGUUCGAAUAGGGCGGUACCUUGACGGUACCUAACCAGAAAGCCACGGCUAACUACGUGCCAGCCGCCGC